This 253-nucleotide ribosomal RNA is filed under the name uncultured bacterium. Its description in RNAcentral is "partial 16S ribosomal RNA". It matches the Rfam family "Bacterial small subunit ribosomal RNA", at positions 524 to 776 of the family's 1533-position model. The record is from RNAcentral.
UACAGAGGUCCCAAGCGUUGUUCGGAUUCACUGGGCGUAAAGGGUGCGUAGGUGGUCGGGUAAGUUUAAGGUGAAAGCUCCGGGCUCAACCCGGAAAUGGCCUUGAAUACUAUCCGGCUCGAGGGUUGGAGGGGGGACUGGAAUUCUCGGUGUAGCAGUGAAAUGCGUAGAUAUCGAGGGGAACACCAGUGGCGAAGGCGAGUCCCUGGACAACACCUGACACUGAGGCACGAAAGCUAGGGGAGCAAACGGG